AUAAGUUACGUUAAUAUUAAUAUUUUCUUGAGUAACAAUGGGAUGAUUAAGAUUUUAAGUAGAAAAAUACACAAAUUCCAUGCACCAAACUGUCACGGACGAGUUCCUUUAUAUGACGUCGUGUGUAUAUAAGAACCUCAAAGCUCUAAACAAAUCCUCCUCACCUACUCAAAGAUCUAGACUCUUCUCUGCUUCUCUCUUUUUUCCUUAGUACCGCUGCUAGAUCUUGACCGCUGCCACUACUCUAGUCGUCGUCUUCUUCUUCUUCUUUUUCUCUAUCUAUGUGUUUAAUCACUUCCUUGAUCUUCAAAGCAGUGUUCAUUAUCGUUCUUUUUGGUUUUUGGAUUCUUGGAUGGCUUUCUGCUGUUCUUUUUCUGAGUUCUUGAAUUCUUUCUCUUAUCUGGUUUUUUCUCAAAUCUUGAUCUAACGGUCUCUCUUUAAUAACUAUCACCAAAAAAUCUUACCCAAAAACCCCAAAUCCAUGAAUUACCAAAAAAGAAAAAAGUAGUUGAAGCUGUUGGUUUUGUGUGUUUCUACUUUUCUUGCCUUUUCUUUUUCUUCUCUUUGUAUUUAGAACUUUUUUUUUUAAUCUUUUUUUCUCUAAACAAUUAAGAGUCUGUGAUCUUUCUUUUUCAUGAUUCUUGGGUUCUGUUUUGUAUUCAUAUGGAUAUAUAAAAAUUGCCAUCCUUUAAAUGCCACUUGUACGCCCUUAUAAUCACAUAAAAAUCAGUAGAUCUGAACCUGUACUGCUCCUGUUAACCUUUUGUGGUUCUCUAAAAUUUUUAUUUGCCAUAAAACCCAAAUCCUAUAUUCCUAAUGCAUGGAUUGUUCAAGUUCAAGUUCAAAAACAGUCAUUGUUUGCUGCUGCAGCAUCACCAAGAUUCACAUGCAAAUGCAGUUCUUUUUCUUCUCUCUCUCUCUCUCUCUUUUUUUCUUUGUUUUUGAAGGAUGAGAGUGAGAAUCUUGAUGAUGCUGCAUCGGCCAUAAAUGGCUAUACCUAAACUAUGUAGCAGCUGGGUCCAAGAUUUUGUACAUCUAAUUAAACAAGGGAAUAAAGGAUUUUAUUUUGAGCACAGGUACAAAUUAAGAUCAUGUAUCUAUAUAUAUGGGAUAGAAGUUUCAAUUGUUGUGAGCAUUAGUGUAGUUAGGGUUUGUUUUGAUAAGUAAAAAUUUUGUUGAAUAUUUUAGCAUGUAUUAUCCAGCUAACA
Long non-coding RNA from Hevea brasiliensis (rubber tree), 1208 nucleotides. RefSeq lists it as uncharacterized. The record is from RefSeq and is a predicted model, not a curated record. Lineage: Eukaryota; Viridiplantae; Streptophyta; Magnoliopsida; Malpighiales; Euphorbiaceae. The transcript has 2 exons.